RNAcentral lists this ribosomal RNA (120 nucleotides) under uncultured bacterium. RNAcentral describes it as "partial 16S ribosomal RNA". It matches the Rfam family "Bacterial small subunit ribosomal RNA", at positions 796 to 918 of the family's 1533-position model. The record is from RNAcentral.
CACGCAGUAAACGAUGAUCACUAGCUGUUUGCGAUACAUUGUAAGCGGCCCAGCGAAAGCGUUAAGUGAUCCACCUGGGGAGUACGCCGGCAACGGUGAAACUCAAAGGAAUUGACGGGG